RNAcentral lists this transfer RNA (84 nucleotides) under bacterium. RNAcentral describes it as "tRNA-Tyr". It matches the Rfam family "tRNA". From Rfam's summary of the family: Transfer RNA (tRNA) molecules are approximately 80 nucleotides in length. The record is from RNAcentral.
GGGUGGUUAGCGAAGUGGUCAAACGCAGCACGCUGUAAACGUGCCGGCCUUCGGCCUUCGGGGGUUCGAAUCCCUCACCACCCA